UGAGGUUGAGAUGUGUGUGAGUGGUUGAGU
Molecule: non-coding RNA, 30 nt
Filed under: Mus musculus (house mouse)
Lineage: Eukaryota; Metazoa; Chordata; Mammalia; Rodentia; Muridae
Source: RNAcentral